AUCACCCGGGAAUCUUGUUAAAAUGCAGAUUACGAUUCAGUAGGUCAGAGCUGGAGCCUAGGAUUCUGCAUUUCUCACAAGCUCCUAGGUAAUACCAA
RNAcentral lists this microRNA precursor (98 nucleotides) under Pteropus alecto (black flying fox). RNAcentral's name for it is "mir-544 microRNA precursor family". It matches the Rfam family "mir-544 microRNA precursor family". RNAcentral also lists the same sequence under 1 other name. The record is from Rfam by way of RNAcentral. Lineage: Eukaryota; Metazoa; Chordata; Mammalia; Chiroptera; Pteropodidae.